GGGGCCAUAGCUCAGCUGGGAGAGCGCUACGCUGGCAGCGUAGAGGUCAACGGUUCGAUCCCGUUUGGCUCCACCA
This 76-nucleotide transfer RNA is filed under the name Mariprofundus sp. RNAcentral describes it as "tRNA-Ala". It matches the Rfam family "tRNA". From Rfam's summary of the family: Transfer RNA (tRNA) molecules are approximately 80 nucleotides in length. Their secondary structure includes four short double-helical elements and three loops (D, anti-codon, and T loops). Further hydrogen bonds mediate the characteristic L-shaped molecular structure. tRNAs have two regions of fundamental functional importance: the anti-codon, which is responsible for specific mRNA codon recognition, and the 3' end, to which the tRNAs corresponding amino acid is attached (by aminoacyl-tRNA synthetases). tRNAs cope with the degeneracy of the genetic code in two manners: having more than one tRNA (with a specific anti-codon) for a particular amino acid; and 'wobble' base-pairing, i.e. permitting non-standard base-pairing at the 3rd anti-codon position. RNAcentral also lists the same sequence under 1 other name. Lineage: Bacteria; Pseudomonadati; Pseudomonadota; Candidatius Mariprofundia; Mariprofundales; Mariprofundaceae. The record is from RNAcentral.